This 412-nucleotide ribosomal RNA is filed under the name uncultured bacterium. Its description in RNAcentral is "bacterial SSU rRNA". It matches the Rfam family "Bacterial small subunit ribosomal RNA", at positions 355 to 764 of the family's 1533-position model. The record is from RNAcentral.
UAAGGAAUAUUGGUCAAUGGACGCAAGUCUGAACCAGCCAUGCCGCGUGAAGGAUUAAGGCCCUCUGGGUUGUAAACUUCUUUUAUAGGGGAAGAAAUGUGACGGUUCUCCGUCACUUGACGGUACCCUGGGAAUAAGCACCGGCUAACUCCGUGCCAGCAGCCGCGGUAAUACGGAGGGUGCAAGCGUUAUCCGGAUUCACUGGGUUUAAAGGGUGCGUAGGUGGGCAGAUAAGUCAGUGGUGAAAUCUUCCGGCUUAACCGGGAAACUGCCGUUGAUACUAUUUGUCUUGAACAUUGCGGAGGUAAGCGGAAUAUGUCAUGUAGCGGUGAAAUGCUUAGAUAUGACAUAGAACACCAAUUGCGAAGGCAGCUUACUACAUAUGAAUUGUCGCUGAGGCACGAAAGCGUGG